This 406-nucleotide ribosomal RNA is filed under the name uncultured bacterium. Its description in RNAcentral is "partial 16S ribosomal RNA". It matches the Rfam family "Bacterial small subunit ribosomal RNA", at positions 30 to 526 of the family's 1533-position model. The record is from RNAcentral.
AUUGAACGCUGGCGGCAGGCCUAACACAUGCAAGUCGAACGAGUGGCGGACGGGUGAGUAAUGUCUGGGAAACUGCCUGCUGGAGGGGGCUAACUACUGGAAACGGUAGCUAAUCCCGCAUACCAUCGGAUGUGCCCAGAUGGGAUUCGCUAGUAGGUGGGAUAACGGCUCCCCUAGGCGACGAUCCCAAGCUGGUAUUAGAGGAGGACCAGCCACACUGUAACUGAGACACGGUCCAGACUCCUACGGUAGGCAGCAGUGGGGAAUAUUGCACAAUGGGCGCAAGCCUGAUGCAGCCAUGCCGAGUGUAUGAAGAAGGCCUUCGGGUUGUAAAGUACUUUCAGCGGGGAGGCGUUACCCGCAGAAGAAGCACCGGCUAACUCCGUGCCAGCAGCCGCGGUAAUUC